AGGAUGAACGCUGGCGGCGUGCCUAACACAUGCAAGUCGAACGUCCUGUCUCGCAAGAGGCAGGGAGUGGCGGACGGGUGAGUACCACGUGGGUCAUCUACCGUGAGGUGAGGAAUACCGGCGAGAAAUCGCCGACAAGACCGCAUAGGCUCGAUGCAAGUCGAGCAAAGCUCUUUCGAGAGAGGGAGCGCCACACGAGGAGCCUGCGCCCGAUUAGCUAGCUGGUGGAGUAACGGUUCACCAGGGCGACGAUCGGUAGCUGGUCUGAGAGGACGAUCAGCCACACUGGGAUUGAGAACGGCCCAGACUCCUACGGGGGGCAGCAGUGAGGAAUUUUCGUCAAUGGGGGCAACCCUGAACGAGCAACGCCGCGUGCAGGAAGAGGUUUCGGAUCGUAACUGCUUUUCUCGGGGAAGAGAACGGACGGUACCCGAGGAAUCAGCCCCGGCUAACUACGCGCCAGCAGCCGCGGU
RNAcentral lists this ribosomal RNA (473 nucleotides) under uncultured bacterium. Its description in RNAcentral is "SSU rRNA". It matches the Rfam family "Bacterial small subunit ribosomal RNA", at positions 26 to 521 of the family's 1533-position model. The record is from RNAcentral.